Long non-coding RNA from Chinchilla lanigera (long-tailed chinchilla), 1490 nucleotides. RefSeq lists it as uncharacterized. The record is from RefSeq and is a predicted model, not a curated record. The transcript is spliced from 7 exons. Lineage: Eukaryota; Metazoa; Chordata; Mammalia; Rodentia; Chinchillidae.
CCAUGCUAUGGGCCAUUCAGACUUUGACUAGUGGAUGGUGAAGAGCUUUGGAAGCCAGUUUACAGAGAUUGCCUAAUGGCAAAGAAGGGUAUUUUCAGGAGCCUUCUGAGUGCAACACCAGCAAAAUUUCACAAAUCAGUGGAGAAAACAAUUUCAAAAGAAGAGUGAGCUGUGGAAAUUCUUUUGCAGCAGGACUCCUCUUUGUUGUCUGGAAAUUCAGUAAGCUGUGCUUGCUUCUUACUGCAUCUCCAGUAUCCCAUCAAUCCUCUUUGUGAAGUUCUAUUGAUUCUUCUCAAUGGUGACCAUAUAAUGAAACUUUGUAAGACACCAGCCACUGUGCCAGACAUUCGACAAGAAGAGAAAGGGAGAAGGAACAAAUUCAAGGAAGAAAGGGGAAGAGUGGUGAGCUUACUGGCUGCUCAGAUGAUUUUGCUUGGUGGAGUUUCAUUAAUAUGGUGCACAGCUUAGAGGAGGAACUGGUUUCAAAAGGCAGGUACAGCAAUUUGCAGCUUUUGGUAAGAAACGUCUGGAGAACUGGACAAUACAAGGAAGAUUCUGUGGCAUGGGGAAAAUCGAGAGAUUAUACCUGUACCAGCCCAACUUUUUCUAUUGAAUAAGAUUGUGGACUCCUUUAAGAAUUGGGAUUAGUUGCUGAAUGCCUACAUCGUGCGGGAUCCACAAAACACCGGAGCUGUAUCAGACAAGAAUGCAGCUCAGUGUUCCAGACUCUAGUCCAGACAGUGAACAAUCGUGAAAACUUCAUUUGAUGAUAAAACAAGAGAGAAAUGUGAAGCAGGCUACAGUGAAGAACGGCAGCAGAUGAGGCUGUAUGUGGAAUGGCUGAGAGGGCCCACCAUCAGCAGGAGCACAAUGAGAAUGCCAGCAAUGGAAGGCACUCUUGGUUCUGUUAGCAGGACUGGAACUUGAACUUGUAAGCGUCUUACAGUUCAGCAGAGACUACGUCCUUUAGUAUUUCCUUGUCAUCUCAAGCAAUUUUUUAAAUGAGCAUCUGCAAUGAUUUGAGGCUGUAGUCAUGACCAUCUCACAUGUCAUGGGAUACCUGGAAAAGAACCAUUUCUGGGUCAGUCUUGCUGAAGAGGUUGGAGCAGAAGGAUCAGAGCCAGUAUCCAGAGCCUCCUGUCAGCACAGACCCUGUCUGUGAGCAGGGAACCUUCUGUUUAUUUUCCACCAAGUAGCUUUAAGUGAUCCCCUUUCUCUGUUGCACCACUUCCCUGAAGUUAACUGAUGGACGCUUCGAAGCCCUGCUAUUCAUCCAACAUCUGUUUCUCUGAUUCUGCAGGCUCCUUGUUGUUUUGAAGUGCUCGAAGUCAAUGUUUUAAGUGCAUGUGGGCAUAAUAUUCAGCAUAUUAAUACACACUAGAGACAGUUCCACCUACUAGAAAGCCAGGUACUACAGGGUUAUAAAAGCCAUUUGAUACCUUGUAAAGCCCAAGACACCUCGCCAAUGCCCAGGCCCUGUUUCUUGAUGU